Molecule: ribosomal RNA, 533 nt
Filed under: Lactiplantibacillus plantarum
Lineage: Bacteria; Bacillati; Bacillota; Bacilli; Lactobacillales; Lactobacillaceae
Description: bacterial SSU rRNA
Rfam family: Bacterial small subunit ribosomal RNA
Source: RNAcentral
UGGAAACAGAUGCUAAUACCGCAUAACAACUUGGACCGCAUGGUCCGAGUUUGAAAGAUGGCUUCGGCUAUCACUUUUGGAUGGUCCCGCGGCGUAUUAGCUAGAUGGUGAGGUAACGGCUCACCAUGGCAAUGAUACGUAGCCGACCUGAGAGGGUAAUCGGCCACAUUGGGACUGAGACACGGCCCAAACUCCUACGGGAGGCAGCAGUAGGGAAUCUUCCACAAUGGACGAAAGUCUGAUGGAGCAACGCCGCGUGAGUGAAGAAGGGUUUCGGCUCGUAAAACUCUGUUGUUAAAGAAGAACAUAUCUGAGAGUAACUGUUCAGGUAUUGACGGUAUUUAACCAGAAAGCCACGGCUAACUACGUGCCAGCAGCCGCGGUAAUACGUAGGUGGCAAGCGUUGUCCGGAUUUAUUGGGCGUAAAGCGAGCGCAGGCGGUUUUUUAAGUCUGAUGUGAAAGCCUUCGGCUCAACCGAAGAAGUGCAUCGGAAACUGGGAAACUUGAGUGCAGAAGAGGACAGUGGAACUCC